CCUACGGGAGGCAGCAGUGGGGAAUAUUGGACAAUGGGCGAAAGCCUGAUCCAGCAAUGCCGCGUGAGUGAUGAAGGCCUUAGGGUUGUAAAGCUCUUUUACCAGGGAUGAUAAUGACAGUACCUGGAGAAUAAGCUCCGGCUAACUCCGUGCCAGCAGCCGCGGUAAUACGGAGGGAGCUAGCGUUGUUCGGAAUUACUGGGCGUAAAGCGUACGUAGGCGGUUAUUCAAGUCAGAGGUGAAAGCCUGGAGCUCAACUCCAGAACUGCCUUUGAAACUAGAUAGCUAGAAUCUUGGAGAGGUGAGUGGAAUUCCGAGUGUAGAGGUGAAAUUCGUAGAUAUUCGGAAGAACACCAGUGGCGAAGGCGACUCACUGGACAAGUAUUGACGCUGAGGUACGAAAGCGUGGGGAGCAAACAGGAUUAGAUACCCUGGUAGUCCACGCCGUAAACGAUGAUAACUAGCUGUUCGGGCUCUACGAGCUUGUAGUGGCGCGAGACUACGACAUUAAGUUAGUCCGUCCGUCGGGUAGGUACGGUCGCGAGAGUUAAACGUACUAAUUAGAAGUAGUUAGGCGUGAGACGNGCCGACGGACGACGACGAGGGAGGAGG
Molecule: ribosomal RNA, 612 nt
Filed under: uncultured bacterium
Lineage: Bacteria
Description: bacterial SSU rRNA
Rfam family: Bacterial small subunit ribosomal RNA (bases 1-522)
Source: RNAcentral